Long non-coding RNA from Benincasa hispida (wax gourd), 1680 nucleotides. RefSeq lists it as uncharacterized. The record is from RefSeq and is a predicted model, not a curated record. NCBI's taxonomy places the organism in Eukaryota, Viridiplantae, Streptophyta, Magnoliopsida, Cucurbitales, Cucurbitaceae.
CGUUCUGCAACUCGUCGUUCGCCGUUGACUGCCAAGCCGCCCGCGCUCGUGCGCCGCCAGAUCUGCUCUCGCCUAGCCAACCUUUCGACCGCGAAGCCACACCAUACCGCCACUUCUCCGUCCGGCCAGCUGUCGGUCCGAUCUCUGUCACACACCGCUCAGCCCCUCCCGCCACCGUGGUUGUCGUCGGAUCUGUCUUGGGUAAGUUUUUCGUUAUCAUUGGAGUUUCACUGGAUUUGGUAGUUUUUGGUAAGAUUGAAGUUUUGGGUAGAAGAUUAGGCCCCAUUAAGUUUGGAAUGAAAGUUAAUUUAUUCGAAUUAUUUUUUGCGGGAAACUAUUGGAGUGGCUGUCAAGCGAAUUCGAGAUCGUUUUCGACAAGUUUUGUUUGAGUUUGGGAGCGAGUUCGGCUUAAACUUCAGCUUUGGAACUUUGAUCCAAGAUUAUUCCAUUCUAAGGAGAAGAUAAACUUGUUAGUUAUUUUGGGCUUAAGUCUGAGGUUGAUCCCAUUAACAACACUGAAUACAAGGUAAUGAAUGGAGACAAAUAAUUCAUAGUGAAGCUAAACUUGGGAUCUUGUAAUUGUUGGGUAUGAGAUCUUGAGGAAAUUUCAUAUGCACAUGCAUUUGUUGUUCUUUGGAUGCUUUAUUUGGAUACUUAUUCUUACAUAUCUUAGUGUUAUUAUUCAAGAACAUUCUUAGCAACAUAUAAAUAUUGUGUUCGACCUAUCGAAAUUCAUUUAUAUUAGAGGGUAGAAGAUGAUGUCAUGAAAGCAUUACGCCUUCUAUUGUUAAACAUCAAGCUAGAAGACUUAGAAAACAAAAGAUUCUAUUUAUAGGUGAAUUUAAAAGAAAAUAUAGACGUUGUAAUCGCAAAGGUCACAAUAGUAGGACUUGAAAAUUUGAACCAAUUAAUAAUGAUGUAAUAUAUUGGCUUUUUUUUUUUUUUUUACAUGUAUUGACAAAUGGAUUGAUAUUAGAGUUUUUGGAAGUUAUUUUUUGGUUUUAUUCUGUUCUUGAGUUGUAAAUAAAUGUAAUAGUAUCUUUACUUUUUAAUGGAACAAACUAACUGUCCGUGAUAAACACUGAUAGAUGGACAUCUGUGUCUAUCACUAAUAGACAUUGAUAGAUAAUGAUAGUUGUCUAUCACAAUCUAUCAGUAAAUAGACAUAGAUAGACAACUAUCAGUGUCUAUUAUUGUGUACAUAGACUAUGACAUGUACCUUUGAACAUAUCACUGUGUAUAUAAAUUGUGAAUUAUGAGCAACUAUCACUAUGAACUAUUAGUGUCUAUUGCAAACAAGGGGUAGUUGAACUUCUACAAGCAAGAGGUAGGUAGAGGUAGAGGUAAAAGUUGAUAAUAUACCUUAUUUCAUAUAAAGAGGUUGAUAAUCAACCUUAUUUGAUACCUAUAAACAAAAUCAAAAAAUAAAUAAGUAAAGGCUCGAUGUUUUCUUUUUGGUGGUAGAUCGAUUAAUUGGGUAGCUUUGGUUGUCAAUAAGCCAGGAACAACAAUGAUAUACACCACAUGGUCAUUCUAUUGAUGCUAAAGUUCCAAUAAUAGAUAGUGAUAGUUGUCUAUCACUAUCUAUCAGUGAUAGACAUUAAUAAAAUAUUAUCAAUCAAUGUUUAUUAUUGAUAGUAGUCUAUAGUAGAUAGAUACAGAAAGAGAUGUCCAAUUUCC